GUCAGCCAUGAUAAAGCAGUCGAAAGCCAGAAUACUGGGUACAUAUACGCAGAUCUAACAGAAUCCACGGUCACCACGAAUAGAUGUAGGAUUAAAGGAUGCAAACGUAGUCCGGAAGACUCAGUUCGGAAGACCUGGUUUGGGUCAAGCAAAGUCGGCACGAAGCGUCAUACUGUGAUGAAGAAAAAUGUCGCGUGCCGAUACUACGCAUGUUUACUACAUGCGUGCGAAAGCAUUAACACGAAGCUAGUCGAUAUCCCCCGAGAGAUAUUCCUUCUUCGUGAUAUAACGUCGAGAAUUAUUAAUUAUUACCAUGACAUGACAAAUUUGAAAAGCUUACCUUGCGAAGGGAGGAGAUCUUCGUAUUUGAAAUGCGCAUCCGUUCUUGUUCUCGUCGCAGUUGUUGUGAAACUGACGGUAACUCAACCGCAAUUUAAUUGCCGUCUUCUGCUUGAUUCGUAUAACCGAGCGAGUCUUGCCACGGAAGUAAUGAUGGAAGAGAGUGCGACGGGGAAAGUCAGGGGGAGGACCUGAGUGCGGCCAACAGAAGGAAAAGUGCUUAACUUUAGUUCGGAACUUGUGAGAAGGGUCAUCCCGCGGGAAAUCAAUGUCUGACGGUUCAAAGAAGGUCGAAGAAGAGGACUGGACGAUGUGAUCGCGUGUAUACGCGAGUUGGUUUAUGUGUGAUGGUUAAUUUGAUAACCAACUCUCGUGCGGAACGCCAGGUUAUCUUUCAUCUAUAUUCCGUAUCUCUUUCGAUUACUUCGCGACGACUUUUUUCCGGUCGCUUUGCAGAUUAAACUGCAAGGCGAGGGGGACUGGGGGAACGGGUGCGGGUACGGUUAAAGAAACACUCCCAAGUAAUUAAAUAGGAGAUCUGCAUUUUACAAAGCAAUAAGUUACACGAGAGUCCUUACACGAAACCAAAGCCCCCAAUUCGAGUCGUGGCACGCGUUUCUCGUUCUCCUGUCAUGUGCUUUCCUCUUCCCCCUUCUUUUCAUACAAAUGUGAAACGUAAUUAAGCCGAAGGCAGUGAAUUGCAAGGACAAGAGAAGCGCGAUGUAUUCCUUCCUACGUAGAAGAUAUCCAGUCACGGAGUUACUGUUUUGUGAGAAAAUAUAUGCACGUAUUCAAGUUGUUGAACAAAAGUACAGAUGUGUCGCGCGCAAAACGAAGCGCCAUUAAUGUCGACGUUGAAAUAUAUAUACAAUUUUGAAAUUAUCUUUUCUGCAACUCAUUCUCGUUCCACUUUACUGCUGAAGAAAUCAUUUUGUUUAUUCUCCUUAAUGUGCAUUUCGUGAUCGUUAUCGGACGCAUUCCAACUUCUGUUCAGCAGCCAUACGCGCAGUUCCCAUUAAUAUUUGCGCUCGUAUGAAAUGGCUCGAAUUUUUCUGGAAGACUGGAGAAGGACGACGUCGUUGUCACCGAUAGUUAAAAAGAAAAAAAAAAAGAAGAAAAAUGGACAAGAUAUCAUCGGACGCGCGAUCAA
Molecule: long non-coding RNA, 1489 nt
Organism: Odontomachus brunneus
Lineage: Eukaryota; Metazoa; Arthropoda; Insecta; Hymenoptera; Formicidae
Exons: 3
Source: RefSeq, a predicted model, not a curated record